UACGUAGGGUGCAAGCGUUAAUCGGAAUUACUGGGCGUAAAGCGUGCGCAGGCGGUUUGUUAAGUCCGUUGUGAAAGCCCCGAGCUCAACUUGGGAAUUGCAGUGGAUACUGGCAGGCUGGAGUACGGUAGAGGAAGGUGGAAUUCCCGGUGUAGCAGUGAAAUGCGCAGAUAUCGGGAGGAACACCGGUGGCGAAGGCGGUUCUCUGGGCCUGUACUGACGCUGAGGAGCGAAAGCGUGGGGAGCGAACAGG
Molecule: ribosomal RNA, 253 nt
Filed under: uncultured bacterium
Lineage: Bacteria
Description: partial 16S ribosomal RNA
Rfam family: Bacterial small subunit ribosomal RNA
Source: RNAcentral